UGAGGAACAUGACUUUCGGCGGGGGAUAGCCGGCCCAACGGCCGGGUAAUACCGCGUACGACCUCUCGGGGACAUCCCCGGUUGGUGAAAGCAGCAAUGCACCGAAAGAGUGCCUCGCGGCCUAUCAGCUAGUUGGGUGGGGUAACGGCUCACCAAGGCGACGACGGGUAGCUGGUCUGAGAGGAUGGCCAGCCACAGUUGGGACUGAGACACGGCCCAGACCUCCGUACGGGGAGCAG
RNAcentral lists this ribosomal RNA (239 nucleotides) under uncultured bacterium. Its description in RNAcentral is "partial 16S ribosomal RNA". It matches the Rfam family "Bacterial small subunit ribosomal RNA", at positions 118 to 351 of the family's 1533-position model. The record is from RNAcentral.